RNAcentral lists this ribosomal RNA (2932 nucleotides) under Escherichia coli. RNAcentral describes it as "23S ribosomal RNA". It matches the Rfam family "Bacterial large subunit ribosomal RNA". The record is from RNAcentral. Lineage: Bacteria; Pseudomonadati; Pseudomonadota; Gammaproteobacteria; Enterobacterales; Enterobacteriaceae.
GGGUUGUGAGGUUAAGCGACUAAGCGUACACGGUGGAUGCCCUGGCAGUCAGAGGCGAUGAAGGACGUGCUAAUCUGCGAUAAGCGUCGGUAAGGUGAUAUGAACCGUUAUAACCGGCGAUUUCCGAAUGGGGAAACCCAGUGUGAUUCGUCACACUAUCAUUAACUGAAUCCAUAGGUUAAUGAGGCGAACCGGGGGAACUGAAACAUCUAAGUACCCCGAGGAAAAGAAAUCAACCGAGAUUCCCCCAGUAGCGGCGAGCGAACGGGGAGCAGCCCAGAGCCUGAAUCAGUGUGUGUGUUAGUGGAAGCGUCUGGAAAGGCGUGCGAUACAGGGUGACAGCCCCGUACACAAAAAUGCACAUGCUGUGAGCUCGAUGAGUAGGGCGGGACACGUGGUAUCCUGUCUGAAUAUGGGGGGACCAUCCUCCAAGGCUAAAUACUCCUGACUGACCGAUAGUGAACCAGUACCGUGAGGGAAAGGCGAAAAGAACCCCGGCGAGGGGAGUGAAAAAGAACCUGAAACCGUGUACGUACAAGCAGUGGGAGCACAGAGCAAUCUGUGUGACUGCGUACCUUUUGUAUAAUGGGUCAGCGACUUAUAUUCUGUAGCAAGGUUAACCGAAUAGGGGAGCCGAAGGGAAACCGAGUCUUAACUGGGCGUUAAGUUGCAGGGUAUAGACCCGAAACCCGGUGAUCUAGCCAUGGGCAGGUUGAAGGUUGGGUAACACUAACUGGAGGACCGAACCGACUAAUGUUGAAAAAUUAGCGGAUGACUUGUGGCUGGGGGUGAAAGGCCAAUCAAACCGGGAGAUAGCUGGUUCUCCCCGAAAGCUAUUUAGGUAGCGCCUCGUGAAUUCAUCUCCGGGGGUAGAGCACUGUUUCGGCAAGGGGGUCAUCCCGACUUACCAACCCGAUGCAAACUGCGAAUACCGGAGAAUGUUAUCACGGGAGACACACGGCGGGUGCUAACGUCCGUCGUGAAGAGGGAAACAACCCAGACCGCCAGCUAAGGUCCCAAAGUCAUGGUUAAGUGGGAAACGAUGUGGGAAGGCCCAGACAGCCAGGAUGUUGGCUUAGAAGCAGCCAUCAUUUAAAGAAAGCGUAAUAGCUCACUGGUCGAGUCGGCCUGCGCGGAAGAUGUAACGGGGCUAAACCAUGCACCGAAGCUGCGGCAGCGACGCUUAUGCGUUGUUGGGUAGGGGAGCGUUCUGUAAGCCUGCGAAGGUGUGCUGUGAGGCAUGCUGGAGGUAUCAGAAGUGCGAAUGCUGACAUAAGUAACGAUAAAGCGGGUGAAAAGCCCGCUCGCCGGAAGACCAAGGGUUCCUGUCCAACGUUAAUCGGGGCAGGGUGAGUCGACCCCUAAGGCGAGGCCGAAAGGCGUAGUCGAUGGGAAACAGGUUAAUAUUCCUGUACUUGGUGUUACUGCGAAGGGGGGACGGAGAAGGCUAUGUUGGCCGGGCGACGGUUGUCCCGGUUUAAGCGUGUAGGCUGGUUUUCCAGGCAAAUCCGGAAAACUAAGGCUGAGGCGUGAUGACGAGGCACUACGGUGCUGAAGCAACAAAUGCCCUGCUUCCAGGAAAAGCCUCUAAGCAUCAGGUAACAUCAAAUCGUACCCCAAACCGACACAGGUGGUCAGGUAGAGAAUACCAAGGCGCUUGAGAGAACUCGGGUGAAGGAACUAGGCAAAAUGGUGCCGUAACUUCGGGAGAAGGCACGCUGAUAUGUAGGUGAAGUCCCUCGCGGAUGGAGCUGAAAUCAGUCGAAGAUACCAGCUGGCUGCAACUGUUUAUUAAAAACACAGCACUGUGCAAACACGAAAGUGGACGUAUACGGUGUGACGCCUGCCCGGUGCCGGAAGGUUAAUUGAUGGGGUUAGCGCAAGCGAAGCUCUUGAUCGAAGCCCCGGUAAACGGCGGCCGUAACUAUAACGGUCCUAAGGUAGCGAAAUUCCUUGUCGGGUAAGUUCCGACCUGCACGAAUGGCGUAAUGAUGGCCAGGCUGUCUCCACCCGAGACUCAGUGAAAUUGAACUCGCUGUGAAGAUGCAGUGUACCCGCGGCAAGACGGAAAGACCCCGUGAACCUUUACUAUAGCUUGACACUGAACAUUGAGCCUUGAUGUGUAGGAUAGGUGGGAGGCUUUGAAGUGUGGACGCCAGUCUGCAUGGAGCCGACCUUGAAAUACCACCCUUUAAUGUUUGAUGUUCUAACGUUGACCCGUGAUCCGGGUUGCGGACAGUGUCUGGUGGGUAGUUUGACUGGGGCGGUCUCCUCCUAAAGAGUAACGGAGGAGCACGAAGGUUGGCUAAUCCUGGUCGGACAUCAGGAGGUUAGUGCAAUGGCAUAAGCCAGCUUGACUGCGAGCGUGACGGCGCGAGCAGGUGCGAAAGCAGGUCAUAGUGAUCCGGUGGUUCUGAAUGGAAGGGCCAUCGCUCAACGGAUAAAAGGUACUCCGGGGAUAACAGGCUGAUACCGCCCAAGAGUUCAUAUCGACGGCGGUGUUUGGCACCUCGAUGUCGGCUCAUCACAUCCUGGGGCUGAAGUAGGUCCCAAGGGUAUGGCUGUUCGCCAUUUAAAGUGGUACGCGAGCUGGGUUUAGAACGUCGUGAGACAGUUCGGUCCCUAUCUGCCGUGGGCGCUGGAGAACUGAGGGGGGCUGCUCCUAGUACGAGAGGACCGGAGUGGACGCAUCACUGGUGUUCGGGUUGUCAUGCCAAUGGCACUGCCCGGUAGCUAAAUGCGGAAGAGAUAAGUGCUGAAAGCAUCUAAGCACGAAACUUGCCCCGAGAUGAGUUCUCCCUGACUCCUUGAGAGUCCUGAAGGAACGUUGAAGACGACGACGUUGAUAGGCCGGGUGUGUAAGCGCAGCGAUGCGUUGAGCUAACCGGUACUAAUGAACCGUGAGGCUUAACCUUACAACGCCGAAGCUGUU